GCGGAGGAAAAGAAACUAACAAGGAUUCCCCUAGUAACUGCGAGUGAAGCGGGAAAAGCUCAAAUUUAAAAUCUGGUGGUCU
This 82-nucleotide ribosomal RNA is filed under the name Russula laurocerasi. RNAcentral describes it as "partial 28S ribosomal RNA". It matches the Rfam family "Eukaryotic large subunit ribosomal RNA", at positions 50 to 131 of the family's 3401-position model. The record is from RNAcentral. Lineage: Eukaryota; Fungi; Basidiomycota; Agaricomycetes; Russulales; Russulaceae.